UCUCUGAACAAAAGAGAUGAAUUUAUGCCUGGGACUUCUGCUUGAGUCCACUGAUUAACACAUAUUUUUAUGCAUAUGCUUGCCUUCUUUUGCUUUUGCUGGCUUUUUUUCCCUACUAGGAGAAAGUUGAAAUGCCACUUUAAGGAUGCGAAGACCUUCCCAGCUGCAGGAGGCUUUGGCUGAGGUGCCACCACUGCUGAGCUGCUUGGGAAGGUUUGAGAGAAGGUGCAGCCACUGUGGACAGCUCCUGCGGCGGUACCUCAUGAAAGCGGCGAGAUGAAGUGGGAACAAAUGUGCAGCUGUUUUGACAGGUGCCACCAUUGUGACAAGUGAAGCUGCUUUGAUAGCUCCUGUGGGGCUUUCCUCGGGAACUACAGUCUUCUAUCAGAACAUGAUUCGCAUCCCAGGAACUGUAUAGGGUGGGGAGGAAAUGCCGUGGAGGAGGAGAAACCUUUGAAACCAUAGAAAUACCUCCAGGAAGAUGUAUAAGUGCUGUGAAUAAGGAUCCUCUAUACCAUCAGCCUGGACAACCAAAAACCUAGCAAG
Mastomys coucha (southern multimammate mouse) is the source of this 546-nucleotide long non-coding RNA. RefSeq lists it as uncharacterized. The transcript has 4 exons. The record is from RefSeq and is a predicted model, not a curated record. NCBI's taxonomy places the organism in Eukaryota, Metazoa, Chordata, Mammalia, Rodentia, Muridae.